Molecule: ribosomal RNA, 397 nt
Filed under: uncultured microorganism
Description: bacterial SSU rRNA
Rfam family: Bacterial small subunit ribosomal RNA
Source: RNAcentral
GAGUUUGAUCGUGGCUCAGAGUGAACGCUGGCGGUAGGCCUAACACAUGCAAGUCGAACGGCAGCACAGAGGAGCUUGCUCCUUGGGUGGCGAGUGGCGGACGGGUGAGGAAUACAUCGGAAUCUACUCUGUCGUGGGGGAUAACGUAGGGAAACUUACGCUAAUACCGCAUACGACCUACGGGUGAAAGCAGGGGAUCUUCGGACCUUGCGCGAUUGAAUGAGCCGAUGUCGGAUUAGCUAGUUGGCGGGUAAAGGCCCACCAAGGCGACGAUCCGUAGCUGGUCUGAGAGGAUGAUCAGCCACACUGGAACUGAGACACGGUCCAGACUCCGUACGGGAGGCAGCAGUGGGGAAUAUUGGACAAUGGGCGCAAGCCUGAUCCAGCCAUACCGCGU